UAGGGAAUCUUCGGCAAUGGGGGCAACCCUGACCGAGCAACGCCGCGUGAGUGAAGAAGGUUUUCAGAUCGUAAAGCUCUGUUGUAAGAGAAGAACGUGUGUGAGAGUGGAAAGUUCACACAGUGACGGUAACUUACCAGAAAGGGACGGCUAACUACGUGCCAG
RNAcentral lists this ribosomal RNA (165 nucleotides) under uncultured bacterium. RNAcentral's name for it is "partial 16S rRNA". It matches the Rfam family "Bacterial small subunit ribosomal RNA", at positions 355 to 511 of the family's 1533-position model. The record is from RNAcentral.